Molecule: ribosomal RNA, 465 nt
Filed under: uncultured bacterium
Lineage: Bacteria
Description: partial 16S ribosomal RNA
Rfam family: Bacterial small subunit ribosomal RNA
Source: RNAcentral
GACGAACGCUGGCGGCGUGCUUAACACAUGCAAGUCGAACGGAAAGGCCCUGCUUGCAGGGUACUCGAGUGGCGAACGGGUGAGUAACACGUGGGUGAUCUGCCCUGCACUUCGGGAUAAGCCUGGGAAACUGGGUCUAAUACCGGAUAGGAGCCAUUUUUAGUGUGAUGGUUGGAAAGUUUUUUCGGUGUAGGAUGAGCUCGCGGCCUAUCAGCUUGUUGGUGGGGUAAUGGCCUACCAAGGCGGCGACGGGUAGCCGGCCUGAGAGGGUGGACGGCCACAUUGGGACUGAGAUACGGCCCAGACGCCUACGGGAGGCAGCAGUGGGGAAUAUUGCACAAUGGGCGCAAGCCUGAUGCAGCGACGCCGCGUGGGGGAUGACGGCCUUCGGGUUGUAAACUCCUUUCGCUAGGGACGAAGCUUCUUGUGACGGUACCUAGAUAAGAAGCACCGGCUAACUACGUG